GAUGGAUCAGAGUAAAAUUGCACCAGCUGGGCUUUAAUUCUGGAUUGCAGACUGGUCCCUAACCCCAGCCCAAGUUUGGCAGGGGGUCAUAUGAGUGGAGAAUUAUUAGUAUUAUGGUCUUUAUGAGCGUUUUAAAUACUCUGUGUUUUUUGUAUUAAAGUGUAUACUUCUAGAAUGAGAGAUCAUGUUUGGCUUCUGUCACAAACCACGCAACAAAUUACCAAACACACACACACACACACACACACGACACAAUGCAAGGGAAGGAAAACUAUCCAUGAAAAGAUCAUCGUGUCUAUCCUGGUUGUACAGCUCUGUCAUUGAUCAAAUUAGGAUAAGUUACUUCUCUACUUCCCCAUUUAUAAAAAUGAAUAUACUGAUGCAUGUUUCAUAAGAAUCAUUUAAACAUUAUCUGGGAUAUAACUCAAUUGAUUACAAUUAGAUCUGAAUAGUGGGUCAAAUGCAUAUGUUUCUCUGGAGAGAAAUAAAUGUAUAUAAGCACAAAUCAGGAAGUUCAGUCAUUAUCACCUAACUCACCAAAGAGGAAAUGCUUCCUCUUAAGUUUCUCGUGAGCUGCAAACACAGUGGAGUUAAGAGAGCAGGGGAUUUCUCAUUAGUGCUUAUGUGGGAGAUCAGGAGAAGAAAAAGACUACAGCUAGGUAUAUGGAAGGAAAAGAGAGAGGUAAGGAUAGGAAGAAGAAGAAGGGAACUCCCUUCAGAAAAUGUCUUCAGCUUUUGGGAUACUUUUCACAAUUUUUCUCCCUUUCACAGCUGCAUCUCCAGAAGUAACACUACUUUAGAGGAAGAAUAAAACUUCAGUGUGCAAAGGUUGCAGGGAAGCCAGCUUGCACAGAUUUUCUAAGCCCCAGAAGAUUGCAUCACUGAGCAUGAAUCUAAGAUUAACAGGGCAGUGACUGUCCAGAACACAUGCCACUGGGCAGGCAACAUUGUAUAUUAUGUGACCUGCUUUAUUUUACAUUUGAACAGGAGCAAGAGUCUAACCAUAGGUGAGCAGGCUUGCAGUAACUGAUCUAAUUAUCUUAACUUCUUCCCAAACAAGUGUCAUCACCUAUUGACAUACUUGGUUAUCACCUCAGGAAAUUCUAAUUGACUUACAUUGAAUUUUUUCAUUCUGUCUUAUUUCCUCUUUCAAGUUUUCCUUUGCCUUCUGUCUUAUUAUUGGCCUGAGGUAGAUUUUCUCAGAUAAAAUUCACUCUAUUUUUUUUAAUCUCUUUAUUGGUUCGUAGUCCAUUCUGACAGUGCAUUUUAAGUAUUAGGUUGUUGUGUCACCACUUAAUUUUCUUUUUGAUUAUGUCUAAUCAGGUUUUUAACCUACCCACUGAGAUAUGAUUCCAAUAAUUGUAUUUUUCUUUUUAAAAAGUUUAGUUCUUUCAUUUUAUUUCCUUUUUCCUCUUUUCUUUUUUAACCAUGUUAAUCACAUGUUAUUUUCCAUAGUGGAAAACCAUAGUGGUUUUCACACUGUCUCAUUAUUUCUAGUUAUCGUGUUGCCAAUUCUGGUGGUUGCUGUAAUAGAAAAACAGAAUUAUAGAAGAGGUAGUGACCAUUAAAUGGUAAAUGGGAGUGAGAAGGAUUUAGAGAGUACUUUGUACAGGGGAUAAAAUUUGAAUGAGGUCUGAAGGAUAGACUGAACUUUAAAAAGUUAAUUAGGCUGACAAAGUAAAAGAGGGCAUUUUAUUUUAUUUAUCAAUAACAGCAAUAGUUGAUUUACAGUGUGCUAGUUAGUAUCUGCUGCUCAUCAAAGUGAUCCAGUUAUAUAUACACAUAUAUCCACUUUUUUAUAGAUUUUGUUA
This 1811-nucleotide long non-coding RNA is filed under the name Bos indicus x Bos taurus (hybrid cattle). Its description in RNAcentral is "lncRNA (ENSBIXG00005014773.1)". Lineage: Eukaryota; Metazoa; Chordata; Mammalia; Artiodactyla; Bovidae. The record is from RNAcentral.